Molecule: long non-coding RNA, 209 nt
Organism: Triplophysa rosa
Lineage: Eukaryota; Metazoa; Chordata; Actinopteri; Cypriniformes; Nemacheilidae
Exons: 3
Source: RefSeq, a predicted model, not a curated record
AGAAAAGGCAGUGUCGAAGUGGCUCAUUGGUGCCAGGUACAGGGGAGGAAACCGGACUGCGAGGGCACGUGGUGCAGAGCAAGAUGGACACGCCAUAGGCUGUGUAGUACGCACAGGGGAGGAAACCGGACUGCGAGGGCACGUGGUGCAGAGCAAGAUGGACACGCCAUAGGCUGUGUAGUACGCGCAGCCUACGCAGUUGCCUGACA